Molecule: ribosomal RNA, 902 nt
Filed under: Salmonella enterica subsp. enterica serovar Breukelen
Lineage: Bacteria; Pseudomonadati; Pseudomonadota; Gammaproteobacteria; Enterobacterales; Enterobacteriaceae
Description: partial 23S ribosomal RNA
Rfam family: Bacterial large subunit ribosomal RNA
Source: RNAcentral
GGGUUGUGAGGUUAAGCGACUAAGCGUACACGGUGGAUGCCCUGGCAGUCAGAGGCGAUGAAGGGCGUGCUAAUCUGCGAUAAGCGCCGGUAAGGUGAUAUGAACCGUUAUAACCGGCGAUACCCGAAUGGGGAAACCCAGUGUGAUUCGUCACACUAUCAUUAACUGAAUCCAUAGGUUAAUGAGGCGAACCGGGGGAACUGAAACAUCUAAGUACCCCGAGGAAAAGAAAUCAACCGAGAUUCCCCCAGUAGCGGCGAGCGAACGGGGAGGAGCCCAGAGCCUGAAUCAGCAUGUGUGUUAGUGGAAGCGUCUGGAAAGGCGCGCGAUACAGGGUGACAGCCCCGUACACAAAAGCGCAUAUGCUGUGAGCUCGAUGAGUAGGGCGGGACACGUGGUAUCCUGUCUGAAUAUGGGGGGACCAUCCUCCAAGGCUAAAUACUCCUGACUGACCGAUAGUGAACCAGUACCGUGAGGGAAAGGCGAAAAGAACCCCGGCGAGGGGAGUGAAAAAGAACCUGAAACCGUGUACGUACAAGCAGUGGGAGCACAGGUUUACCUGUGUGACUGCGUACCUUUUGUAUAAUGGGUCAGCGACUUAUAUUCUGUAGCAAGGUUAACCGUAUAGGGGAGCCGGAGGGAAACCGAGUCUUAAUUGGGCGUUAAGUUGCAGGGUAUAGACCCGAAACCCGGUGAUCUAGCCAUGGGCAGGUUGAAGGUUGGGUAACACUAACUGGAGGACCGAACCGACUAAUGUUGAAAAAUUAGCGGAUGACCUGUGGCUGGGGGUGAAAGGCCAAUCAAACCGGGAGAUAGCUGGUUCUCCCCGAAAGCUAUUUAGGUAGCGCCUCGUGAAUUCAUCUCCGGGGGUAGAGCACUGUUUCGGCUAGGGGGUCAUCCCG